GAUUGUUGUUAGGAAAAAACACGUAAUUUUCUCAUUUACGAUACAUUUUUCUAAAAACCGUAGAGUGGCGCCACUGCAGUAUUUGUUUGGUCGACAUACCACGUUGGUUGUAGUGAAUGCACCUUGCAGUAAGGCGGUAUUUGAGUUAUAUUUUAGAAGUGCCUAGACAAAAUCUGCUCCUUGUCGUGUGCAGUAACCAUCGCAAACCCUCCGGACUUGUGUAACGCCGUUAGUUCGCCGUGUGUUUCGUGCGAUCUACCAGUGUCGACAGUGAGUGUCUUACUACAGCGCCCGUCCGAGCUGCCUUUGUUCUGCCGAGCUGCCUGCCCGCGCUCUCGUGAAAAGUCUGGUACUGGAGCUUCGAAUCGUAGUGUAUGGAAGACUGUUGAAGGUUGUGCUUUUGUGGAGCUGGAGUUCAUCGGAAGUUCUACAGUGCUUGCGCCAGAAAAACGUCGGUGCCUCGGUACCUUUGAGACGAAGGAGCGUUGGCCAAGUCUUUUUGAAAGGCUAUGCGGAUUCUGGAGGCAUCCCUACAUCAAGCAGGAACCUGCUGCACUGCUGGAAGCUGGACAGCACGACAAUAAAGCACGUGAUCUGUGUGCUUUCUCAAAGGUAGACAUCGGCGACGGUGUAUAUGUUGAAAAGUGCCUGCUGAAGAGGCUGCGCCUGGAUGCUAACAACUCAGGCUUUCAGUUCGCGGGGGGCCUCCUUAAGGCUCCUUUUACAAAAGAAGAGGUUGAAGGGAGGCGCUACACAUGGAUGCGCAGCGAUUGUUUGUGACAUCGUCACUGCUGGCAGGCCUGGCCUGCCUUUUCGCUUCGUUCUGGGUCUUCCACGUUAUC
This 842-nucleotide long non-coding RNA is filed under the name Dermacentor andersoni. RNAcentral's name for it is "uncharacterized LOC126528064". The record is from RNAcentral. Lineage: Eukaryota; Metazoa; Arthropoda; Arachnida; Ixodida; Ixodidae.